GAAAUGCGAUAAGUAAUGUGAAUUGCAGAAUUCAGUGAAUCAUCGAAUCUUUGAACGCACAUUGCGCCCGCCAGUAUUCUGGCGGGCAUGCCUGAUCGAGCGUCAUUUCAACCAUCAAGCCCCCGGCUUGUGUUGGGGACCUGCGGCUGCCCGCAGGCCCUGAAAACCAGUGGCGGGCUCGCUGUCACACCGAGCGUAGUAGCAUACAUCUCGCUCAGGGCGUGCUGCGGGUUCCGGCCGUUAAAAGCCUUUUUUACCCAAGGUUGACCUCGGAUCAGGUAGGAAGACCCGCUGAACUUAAGC
This 303-nucleotide unclassified non-coding RNA is filed under the name plant metagenome. Its description in RNAcentral is "partial contains 5.8S ribosomal RNA, internal transcribed spacer 2, and large subunit ribosomal RNA". The stretch from base 1 to 105 matches the Rfam family "5.8S ribosomal RNA", at positions 50 to 154 of the family's 154-position model. The record is from RNAcentral.